UAGUGUCGUCUGUGGUGGUGGUGUCAUGGUGGUGUCAGUUUUAAAUUUUUUAUUAUAUUUGAUUAAAAUCCAAUAUUAGCUUUACAUAUGCCAUAUUUCUCUGAUUCUAUGUCAAAAUGUAGUUUGCGAAAUUUUGUAUAGCACAAUACUUGAAGUUUAAUUGCAGAAAUCCGACUAGGAGGUUUAAAGAUGUUAACAGUGAUGAUAAAAUGAAGGAAAUAGUUGCACAUGUGCUGUACAUAAUAAAAGUUGUAAGCAGAGCGAUAACAUAAUUCACACAUUGACAUGCAUUCAGUCAAGACCAACAAAUGCUUCAGUAAGAAAUAGGACAGCAGUAUUAGAGGUAGGCUUCCCUUCAAUUUUUAAUGAGCAAAUGUUGGUCAUGCUUCGCACACCAAUCCGACCAUGUGGUCCGCUUAAAAGAUCUUUUGGCCAAAAUAAUUGAAGCCGCUGGAAAUAUUUUUGCUCCUUGAAGGAGCUUGAACAAUUCACAGAUGAGAUCCAAAUCCUGUUGCAAUGGCUUAACGAUAUAUAUUGACGGUACUCUGUCCAUGUAAAAGCUGAUGAUUGGUCAUCAGCUUUUUGUUGUUGUUUUUUUUGUUUUUCUUUUUUGUUUUUCUUUUUUUUUCAAAGGGAGGCGAUUCUCAGCCUGGACAAGAAGCGGACCCCCUCAAAGUACUAUACAGCGAGAAGCAGGACGUGAUUUUUAUUAUGAACCCUUUCAUUAGUGAUCACCAAGAGCAUGUUCUAUCAAGAGCUGCCAAACGAAAAAGGUCAUUGGACCACAGCAUUUGCGGUAACAGGAGGCUGAAAAUGGUUUCGUCUACAUUAUAUUAUACCCACCUUGCCUAAAUUGGAUUGGAUUGUAAGUUGGUUUCGUUAAAAAUGCUGUACUGACUUCCACCUCAAGAAGCAAAUUCACGUGAGUCAGAACAUGAGUUUUGCCACCAUCAUUAAUCAAGAGCUGGGAUGCAAGUUUGGAUGGGAUGCACCACCCGGUGGUGGUGAUAUGUUGGUCUACUUCACAAAUUUAUUUCAUUGUUAUCAGAACUAUUUAUUUUUACGUAUUUUUAAGAAAUUCGAAAUUGUAGACUGAAUGUGUUUGAUUUUUGUAUCUUUCACAGGUUGUGAGAAUAACAUCAUGCAACAAAAGCUCCCGUAAGAAUCCCAGCAUGAGGACUUGAGGAGUCUUCAUUAAGGUGUGGAAGCUGGGCUUCUAUGAUCCACGACGACCGAGUACCGUAGCCCAUCACACACAUAACAAGAAAAGAAUGACAAACGACGACGAUGCCCGCAGUGCCGCAAAAUUAUGAAAAGAGAAACAAAGCACUUGUUAGUUAUGCCGAAUUUGAAUUGAUACAAAUUAUUAGUUAGGGAAAAGGGAAACUGCUAUCUAACUACUCCCAAUACUUUUAUCAAAAAUUAAUUUUUAUUUUUUACAGAGUCUUAAUUAAUUGGAAUUAAUUCUUGUUCCUGUUAAACCUAAACUACGUAAUCUCAUUAGCGUAAACGCCUGGCGACCACCACGCCGCCUUUUGGGUGUCCACAAUAUGUGUAUACGUCUGUCACGCUAUUAAGGAAAUCAUAGAAAAACAGAAGGAAUCAAAAUGGACAUACCUGAAGUCAGAUGAAUAGGCGUCGUCCUCGUGGUUUGCGUCGUCUUUUUCUCUCCCAAGUUGUUUUGGGAGAGUCGUGCCUUUCGGUUCGGGAAUGUAGAAUAGAAUGGCUCAUAACUUUAUUGCUUUUACUACUACAAUAUGUAUUUACCUAACAAUUAAAACAAUACUUUCCGCUCUC
This is a long non-coding RNA of Daphnia pulex (common water flea), 1797 nucleotides long. RefSeq lists it as uncharacterized. The record is from RefSeq and is a predicted model, not a curated record. The transcript is spliced from 5 exons. NCBI's taxonomy places the organism in Eukaryota, Metazoa, Arthropoda, Branchiopoda, Diplostraca, Daphniidae.